RNAcentral lists this ribosomal RNA (380 nucleotides) under uncultured eukaryote. RNAcentral describes it as "partial 18S ribosomal RNA". It matches the Rfam family "Eukaryotic small subunit ribosomal RNA", at positions 592 to 976 of the family's 1831-position model. The record is from RNAcentral.
CAAUAGCGUAUAUUAAAGUUGUUGCAGUUAAAAAGCUCGUAGUCGGAUUUUGGCAUCACGCCGCACUGUCUGCCGAUUGGUAAGUACGGUUUGGCGGUUGCUUCCUUCCGGUGCUGUAUGCUGCUCUUAAUUGAGCGGUAUGCUAGUUCCGGUUCAUUUACUUUGAGAAAAUUAGAGUGUUCAAAGCAGGCCUAUGCUCUGAAUAGGUUAGCAUGGAAUAAUAGAAUAGGACUUUGGUUCUAUUUUGUUGGUUUCUAGGACCGAAGUAAUGAUUAAUAGGGACAGUUGGGGGCAUUCAUAUUCCAUUGUCAGAGGUGAAAUUCUUGGAUUAACGGAAGAUGAACGUCUGCGAAAGCAUCUGCCAAGGAUGUUUUCAUUGA